CACGAUGCGUAGCCGACCUGAGAGGGUGAUCGGCCACACUGGAACUGAGACACGGUCCAGACUCCUACGGGAGGCAGCAGUAGGGAAUCUUCCGCAAUGGGCGAAAGCCUGACGGAGCAACGCCGCGUGAGUGAUGAAGGUCUUCGGAUCGUAAAACUCUGUUAUUAGGGAAGAACAAAUGUGUAAGUAACUAUGCACGUCUUGACGGUACCUAAUCAGAAAGCCACGGCUAACUACGUGCCAGCAGCCGCGGUAAUACGUAGGUGGCAAGCGUUAUCCGGAAUUAUUGGGCGUAAAGCGCGCGUAGGCGGUUUUUUAAGUCUGAUGUGAAAGCCCACGGCUCAACCGUGGAGGGUCAUUGGAAACUGGAAAACUUGAGUGCAGAAGAGGAAAGUGGAAUUCCAUGUGUAGCGGUGAAAUGCGCAGAGAUAUGGAGGAACACCAGUGGCGAAGGCGACUUUCUGGUCUGUAACUGACGCUGAUGUGCGAAAGCGUGGGGAUCAAACAGGAUUAGAUACCCUGGUAGUCCACGCCGUAAACGAUGAGUGCUAAGUGUUAGGGGGUUUCCGCCCCUUAGUGCUGCAGCUAACGCAUUAAGCACUCCGCCUGGGGAGUACGACCGCAAGGGUG
This 630-nucleotide ribosomal RNA is filed under the name uncultured bacterium. RNAcentral describes it as "bacterial SSU rRNA". It matches the Rfam family "Bacterial small subunit ribosomal RNA", at positions 275 to 896 of the family's 1533-position model. The record is from RNAcentral.